AUGUGGUAUGACAGGAGGGAAUUUAGAUCUCCACUUGACAAGGGUGGAAGAAGCCCUCAGGCCAUACAACGCACAUACGGUUAAGGUGUCACCACCUACUUUGUGGCAUCUAACCAUGGGCUUUC
Small nuclear RNA from Mustela erminea (ermine), 125 nucleotides. NCBI's taxonomy places the organism in Eukaryota, Metazoa, Chordata, Mammalia, Carnivora, Mustelidae. The record is from RefSeq and is a predicted model, not a curated record.